This 66-nucleotide transfer RNA is filed under the name Merops nubicus (carmine bee-eater). Its description in RNAcentral is "tRNA-Cys". Lineage: Eukaryota; Metazoa; Chordata; Aves; Coraciiformes; Meropidae. The record is from RNAcentral.
GGCUCUGUGGUGAAAUUCAUGUUGAGUUGCAAGCUCAUCGAUGUACGCUAAGGUGUGCCGGAGCCU